UAACUUAGUGGCGGACGGGUGAGUAACGCGUGAGAAUCUGCCUUCAGGACGGAGACAACAGUUGGAAACGACUGCUAAGCCCCGAUGAACCGAAAGGGAAAAUAUUUAUAGCCUGAAGAUGAGCUCGCGUCCGAUUAGCUAGUUGGGGGGGUAAAGGCCCACCAAGGCGACGAUCGGUAGCUGGUCUGAGAGGACGAUCAGCCACACUGGAACUGAGACACGGUCCAG
RNAcentral lists this ribosomal RNA (228 nucleotides) under uncultured bacterium. RNAcentral describes it as "partial 16S ribosomal RNA". It matches the Rfam family "Bacterial small subunit ribosomal RNA", at positions 88 to 334 of the family's 1533-position model. The record is from RNAcentral.